This 674-nucleotide ribosomal RNA is filed under the name uncultured fungus. RNAcentral describes it as "eukaryotic LSU rRNA". It matches the Rfam family "Eukaryotic large subunit ribosomal RNA", at positions 24 to 667 of the family's 3401-position model. The record is from RNAcentral. Lineage: Eukaryota; Fungi.
ACCCCGCUGAACUUAAGCAUAUCAAUAAGCGGAGGAAAAGAAACUAACAAGGAUUCCCCUAGUAACUGCGAGUGAAGCGGGAAAAGCUCAAAUUUAAAAUCUGGUGGCCUCUGGUCAUCCGAGUUGUAAUUUAGAGAAGCGUCUUCCGCGCUGGACCAUGCACAAGUCUCCUGGAAUGGAGCGUCAUAGAGGGUGAGAAUCCCGUCUUUGGCAUGGAUGCACCAGGGCUUCUGUGAUGCGCUCUCAAAGAGUCGAGUUGUUUGGGAAUGCAGCUCAAAAUGGGUGGUGAACUCCAUCUAAAGCUAAAUAUUGGCGAGAGACCGAUAGCGAACAAGUACCGUGAGGGAAAGAUGAAAAGCACUUUGGAAAGAGAGUGAAACAGUACGUGAAAUUGUUGAAAGGGAAACGCUUGAAGUCAGUCGCGUCGACCGAGACUCAGCCUCGCCUUGGCUUGGUGUACUUCUCGGCUGACGGGUCAGUGUCAAUUUUGGGCCUCGGAUAAUGACAAGGGAAAGGUGGCACCUUUAUAGGUGUGUUAUAGUCUCCUGUCGGAUGCGAGGGUCGGGAUUGAGGAACUCAGCACGCGCCUUUUGGUGUCGGGGCUUCGGCCUACGCUACGUGCUUUAGGAUGCUGGCAUAAUGGCUUUAAACGACCCGUCUUGAAACAACGGACC